UACAGAGGUCCCAAGCGUUGUUCGGAUUUACUGGGCGUAAAGGGUGCGUAGGUGGUUGGGUAAGUCUGAUGUGAAAUCUCCGGGCUCAACCCGGAAAUGGCAUUGGAUACUAUUUGACUAGAGGGUUGGAGGGGGGACUGGAAUACUUGGUGUAGCAGUGAAAUGCGUAGAUAUCAAGUGGAACACCAGUGGCGAAGGCGAGUCCCUGGACAACUCCUGACACUGAGGCACGAAAGCGUGGGGAGCGAUCCGG
RNAcentral lists this ribosomal RNA (253 nucleotides) under uncultured bacterium. RNAcentral's name for it is "partial 16S ribosomal RNA". It matches the Rfam family "Bacterial small subunit ribosomal RNA", at positions 524 to 776 of the family's 1533-position model. The record is from RNAcentral.